UACGUAGGGGGCAAGCGUUGUCCGGAUUUAUUGGGCGUAAAGAGCGUCUAGGCGGCCUGACAGGUCUGCUGUGAAAACUCGAGGCUCAACCUCGAGAUGUCGGCGGAAACCGUCUGGCUAGAGUCCGGAAGAGGAGAGUGGAAUUCCUGGUGUAGCGGUGAAAUGCGCAGAUAUCAGGAAGAACACCUAUGGCGAAGGCAGCUCUCUGGGACGGUACUGACGCUGAGACGCGAAAGCGUGGGGAGCGAACAGG
This 253-nucleotide ribosomal RNA is filed under the name uncultured bacterium. Its description in RNAcentral is "partial 16S ribosomal RNA". It matches the Rfam family "Bacterial small subunit ribosomal RNA", at positions 524 to 776 of the family's 1533-position model. The record is from RNAcentral.